CCUACGGGUGGCAGCAGUGGGGAAUAUUGCACAAUGGGCGGAACCCUGAUGCAGCGACGCCGCGUGGGGGAAGAAGCGCCUCGGCGCGUAAAGCCCUGUCAGCAGGGAAGAAAAUGACGGUACCUGAAGAAGAAGCCCCGGCGAAAUACGUGCCAGCAGCCGCGGUAAUACGUAGGGGGCAAGCGUUAUCCGGAUUUACUGGGUGUAAAGGGGGCGCAGACGGCGAUGCAAGCCUGGAGUGAAAGCCCGGGGCCCAACCCCGGGACUGCUCUGGGAACUGAGUGGCUGGAGUGCAGGAGGGGCAAGCGGAAUUCCUGGUGUAGCGGUGAAAUGCGUAGAUAUCAGGAAGAACACCGGUGGCGAAGGCAGCCUGCUGG
Molecule: ribosomal RNA, 377 nt
Filed under: uncultured bacterium
Lineage: Bacteria
Description: partial 16S ribosomal RNA
Rfam family: Bacterial small subunit ribosomal RNA
Source: RNAcentral